Zea mays is the source of this 1023-nucleotide long non-coding RNA. RefSeq lists it as uncharacterized. The record is from RefSeq and is a predicted model, not a curated record. The transcript is spliced from 2 exons. Lineage: Eukaryota; Viridiplantae; Streptophyta; Magnoliopsida; Poales; Poaceae.
GUGGCAGACACUCUAAAUGUGGAGGGCUCCGGUAGUGCGCUAUCCGCGCUCUUCGUCCACCAGCCGCCGCCAGGAAACUUCCCCGCAUUCCUACCCCGCGCUGGCGACUGCAUCUUCCGGGGCCGAGCCCUCGAUCCGGCGCGCUUCGCCGCCGGCAUCGAGGCAGGAGGGCGAGAAGCGGCCGUGCGGAGGCGGGUCUAUCGGCGUAGAGCUCGCACCCCUUGGAACCGAGGCCGCGCGACCCCCCGCAACCGAAGAUCCAAGCCAGCUUCCCCCUGUUCGUCGCCGGAGAGUCACCAUCGGCAAAAGGCUUCGUCGUCCGCCGACUUCGUCGAAGGCAGCCGGCAAAAGGAAGAGAACCUCCUCGCCGCCGUCGUCUUCGUCUUCGAUUCGGUCCACCGAGGCAGAUCCGCGAACAGCGAGCCAUGGAUUCGGAGAACGAAAAGCUCCGUAAAGCACUGGCUACUCUGCUCAGAGUUGUUCAAAAGCGUAGUUGUGACAUCGUUGAUGUCGUGAAAUCAGCCUUCCAGCCUUUCAACUCACCUUUGCUCGACGAAUUGAACCGAGCACUAGUUGAGAUUGACGACCUCGCUAAGGAUCUUGAAGACGUAGCAGUGCAAACUCAGUGGGAGGUAGAAAAUAUGGGUACGAGUGAAGUCAAAGAACAUCCACAACAAGAGGAAGCAGUAGAGGAGCUUCUCAUACAAGAUGGUUCAGAAGACGAGCUACUGAUAGACGAACAGUCACCAAUUAAGUAUGAAGCCCUUGUGGGCUACGACGAUGGUCGUGACUACUCAACCGACGACACAUAUCCGUACUAGUGUUCUAGGUUAAACUUUAGUACAAGUAUUGUAGCAUGUUUAGGUCUAUGUUCAGGUGUACUUGUCGGCUGGUAUGAUCCUGCUUUUGGGGGAGUUUAAUGUUCUGGUCUAUGUAAACUGAAUCCGGUUCAGUUACUACAAUAAUUAAUGUGUUUUCUUGGACUAUGUUUGCCUUACUUUAUACCAUGUUACAUGAUGCCUA